UACGUAGGGUGCAGGCGUUAAUCGGAAUUACUGGGCGUAAAGCGUGCGCAGGCGGUUUCUUAAGUCAGAUGUGAAAGCCCCGGGCUUAACCUGGGAACUGCGUUUGAAACUGGGAGACUUGAGUGUGGCAGAGGGGGGUGGAAUUCCACGUGUAGCAGUGAAAUGCGUAGAUAUCUGGAGGAACACCGGUGGCGAAGGCGGCAUCCUGGACCAAUACUGACACUGAAAAGCGAAAGCCAGGGGAGCAAACGGG
RNAcentral lists this ribosomal RNA (253 nucleotides) under uncultured bacterium. RNAcentral describes it as "partial 16S ribosomal RNA". It matches the Rfam family "Bacterial small subunit ribosomal RNA", at positions 524 to 776 of the family's 1533-position model. The record is from RNAcentral.